This 539-nucleotide ribosomal RNA is filed under the name uncultured fungus. RNAcentral describes it as "eukaryotic LSU rRNA". The stretch from base 190 to 343 matches the Rfam family "5.8S ribosomal RNA". Lineage: Eukaryota; Fungi. The record is from RNAcentral.
AAGUCGUAACAAGGUUUCCGUAGGUGAACCUGCGGAAGGAUCAUUACCUAGAGUUUGUAGACUUCGGUCUGCUACCUCUUACCCAUGUCUUUUGAGUACCUUCGUUUCCUCGGCGGGUCCGCCCGCCGAUUGGACAACAUUCAAACCCUUUGCAGUUGCAAUCAGCGUCUGAAAAAACUUAAUAGUUACAACUUUCAACAACGGAUCUCUUGGUUCUGGCAUCGAUGAAGAACGCAGCGAAAUGCGAUAAGUAGUGUGAAUUGCAGAAUUCAGUGAAUCAUCGAAUCUUUGAACGCACAUUGCGCCCCUUGGUAUUCCAUGGGGCAUGCCUGUUCGAGCGUCAUUUGUACCUUCAAGCUCUGCUUGGUGUUGGGUGUUUGUCUCGCCUCUGCGUGUAGACUCGCCUCAAAACAAUUGGCAGCCGGCGUAUUGAUUUCGGAGCGCAGUACAUCUCGCGCUUUGCACUCAUAACGACGACGUCCAAAAGUACAUUUUUACACUCUUGACCUCGGAUCAGGUAGGGAUACCCGCUGAACUUA